RNAcentral lists this transfer RNA (68 nucleotides) under Lipothrix lubbocki. RNAcentral describes it as "tRNA-Leu". It matches the Rfam family "tRNA". Rfam says of the family: Transfer RNA (tRNA) molecules are approximately 80 nucleotides in length. Their secondary structure includes four short double-helical elements and three loops (D, anti-codon, and T loops). The record is from RNAcentral. Lineage: Eukaryota; Metazoa; Arthropoda; Collembola; Symphypleona; Sminthuridae.
ACUAGUUUGGCAGAUAAAUGUAAUUAACUUAGAAUUAAUGAAUAUUAGUUUAAUACUUUUAAUUAGUA